Molecule: long non-coding RNA, 6984 nt
Filed under: Sus scrofa (pig)
Lineage: Eukaryota; Metazoa; Chordata; Mammalia; Artiodactyla; Suidae
Description: lncRNA (ENSSSCG00000054044.1)
Source: RNAcentral
GAGUGCACUUUAUGAUGUCAUUGUCCAAAUCUGAGAAGUAUCAAAUAAACCAGAAAGUUUCAUAUAUAUUUUUCAAAUAAUCAAAGUAUAUUUUAUACACACAAACAUGAGUGGCAAGAUAAUAUUGGGGAACACAGUGGACAUGUGUGCUCAAGUGCUGGUUUGUGCAGAUAACUAUGAUGGCAAAUUCCAAGACAACAACAAAAGUGUAAAGAGGAAAGGUUCAAACUUAGAAUAUUGUGUCCAGGCUAUUCCCCACUAGUAUAGUGUGAGAAAUUGGAUACCUUGCUUUUGACAACCUUGGGUACCAUUUUAGACACUGCUUUGAAUGCUUGGGGAUUCUUUCUCCAUGUAUUCCUAUGGAACUCUACUAGUGAGUCCUGGUAUAGGCAACAUUCUAAAGUGUGAAACCAUUGAUAGGCUGCACUUACUUUUCCUCUGGGAUUUUUUUUUUUUUAAACACAGUCUUUUCAGGUUCCUCCAUUCAUGGAGAAAAGUGCCUACAACACAAACAUGAUUGUAAGAUAGUGUUGCCUUUCAUUCAGGAGCUAGAUAGGCACAAAGGGGAAGUAAGAAAAGGAAGUCACAGUAUUUAUUCUUCUCUUCCUACCAAGGCAAUAUGGGAAGCUGAGAUCAGGAUCAUUAAUACCAAUGAGAAAUAUUGGGUUUAUUCUAUUUUUCAAUUCACUUAGCUUUCUUUUAAAAAAUUGAGAGGUUUGUCUUUGUCACAUGGUAUGUCAUGAUUAAUCAGAUAUAUUGGAUAGGCAAAUGGUUUAAUAGUUAUUGUAAUUUGUCACAUCAGACAUGGCUUAUUAUGCAUUAUUAAUACCUAAAUGUAAAAUUAGUUAAACGGAGUCUGGCUUCUGUUCAAGACAGUUGUGUGUUAGCAGCAGCAAGUUUGAAAGAACCGCUAUAGGAAUGGCUUAACCAAUAUCACCUUAUCCUUUUUAUAUCAGUAUCAAGGCAUCCUUAUGCGAUAAUUAAGUUGAGGAAAUCUUUAUUCUACAGGAAGGCAGACAGCCAUCCCAUUGAGAGGAGGAGUCUCCAGGCUUCAUUAACAUGGAGACCUAGGAGGUCACAUAAUCUGAAAAGGUGCUGUUUUCUUUUUUUCCUCCAAAGCAAGAUGGAAGUUCAAAAACAUAAUUUUAAUGCAUUUUUAUUUGCAAACCCUAAAAUAUGUUUAUUUUGGUACUAUUUUUUUCUUUUGCUAAAUUUGCUAAAUAUACAGUUAUAGAUUUUAAACAUGAGUAAUAAACCUUGGAAACUUCUUCAAAAUUAGAUGAUUACAAAAGAAAUUGGAGUCCUGUUGGUGUCUGCACAGGAACAACAGUUCACUUUGAGGAAUGUGAGGAGAUCAGAUCUUUUCCUUUCUUCUCAGUCAACAAAGGGCUUCUAUCAUUAACAUCCACUUUGCUAAUUUCUCAGGUGUUUUACAAGGAUAGGGGAUUGUCUCAGUACUGCGCAAACUGUAUCUGAGGCAAUGGCUGCUGCCUCAUAUUUGUAAGUCUACUCUGAUUUUAAUUUCUCAUAUCAAUCCAUUCUAAGGAGGAGACCAUCUCUGGUUAGGUAGGUUCCCAUAGUCAGUCAGUCCAAAGAUGGCUCAGCAUACCCCUCUCAAACUCCAGCCCAUUCCAAGCCAGUUGUAUACUUUUAACAUCUCUUAAAAAUUGAACCACUCUAUAUGUUACCAUAAACAGACAUAUUCUUUUCUAAUUGUUUGACAAGAUCAAUUUCCUAAAAUAUUCAUUGUUUUAUAUUCAAUGACCAUAUUAUUUUUCAUUCAGUUCACAUUCCGUACUUACUCUAUAAUUAGAGUCCUACUAAACAUAGUGAGACAUUUAGAAGAAUUAUAAAAUGUGAGCCCAGACUAUAAGGAGAUCAUGUAUACUUGGAAAGGGAAGACUAAAAUAUUCAAAGAGAUGGGAUGUACUUUAUAGUUAGUUGGGGAUACAUACAUUUUGUGUUCUGUGGAAAUCCAUAGGAGAUCAGAUAAGGUUUGGGCUGUUAGCUAAACCUUUGUGGUAAAGUGAAUUCAAACUUGAGCUAGAGGACAGCUAGUAUUUCAUUAGGUGAAGGGACAAGAAAGAAAAUACUAAAAGGAACAAUGGAAGGAAAGGCUUGGCACUAUAAAUGUGUGUGCCACAGAAUAUGAGCAGAACUUGUUUGUAAGGUGGAUAGGAUAAGGCCAGAUGACAAAAGACUUCUAAAAAGGUUGGUCAGAGCAGUUGGAUUUAAUGUGCUAGUUCAUCAGAAACUCCUGAAAAUUCUGCAUGCCUCCAGAGAGUUGGCAAAUGGAAGGCAGGGAUUUACCCACAAGCAGCAUAGACUUUUGGUUUUGAUAUGUAGACUCAUGUUUGCAUUUGCUUGACACAUGAGUUCUAGGGUUAAGAGCCCAGAGUGAUCUUUUUUUAUACAGAGGUCCAGUCAACAUAGAGUACCUUCUGUUCUGUGAAGGGAUAUUGAAUCAUGAGAGGCCAGUAAAACCAUCACUGGACUUUGGUAAAUCCAUCAGGAAUCUUAGAGGCUUCUUGUUCAUUUACAGAAAAAAUACCAAGGGAAGAGAACAAUAAAAUUUUUUUUUUUACCUAAGCCUUUUAAAAAAUUACCCUUGAGAUUCCAUAGGGUGAUGUAGUUAUGCCAUGCCAUUAAUGUAGCCUAGAAAUACUUUGGCUAUGAUGCUUUGAAAAUGAUCACUAUUGAUGGGACUUGCCUCAAAUUUAGGCCUGAUACGGUCUCUGUGAAUUUGCAUAAACAAAUUCUCUGGAAGUUGUGUCAUUAAAAUACAUUGCUGUUUAAUAUGAUGGAUUUGCUGUUUAAUAUAUUUAGUUACAAAGCUACUGAAAUCUCUUCUCCACAAUGGAUUCUUGAUGUACUUCACUUUGCUUAUAGUGUAAUAUAGAAGAUACCAGUAGCAUAAUUCACAUUUACAUUUUCAAGUACUCUCUCUGAGCUUUCUAUAUAGGCAGUUAAUCCCUCUUUUAUGACUUUUAUUUAUAAUAUAUAAAUACACAUUCAGCCUUCUUAAUAUGAAAUCAUCACAACUAGAAUAAUUCUGAUUAAUGAUGAUACUUUUCCCAGUAAGUUUCUGUUUUCUAUAGAAGAGGAUUCUUUGCAGUAAGAAUUAUCUUUUUCAGUUUAUUUAUGCAUGACUUUAUUGCCAAACUGCUGAAAAGUUUUCAAAGUCAAUUGUCAUUACUCUAUUAUAUUCCUACCAGUAGUGAAUGAAGGUUCCAGUUACUCCACACUCUUAUGAACACUUGGUAUGAUCAGCCUUUUCUUUUUUUUUUUUCCUUUUUGAGUGUUUACCUAUUAUUAAUUUCCUUUUUUGUUUUUUAAAUUUUUAUUGAGGGUAGUUGAUUUACAAUGUUCCUUAAAUUUCUGCUUGUAACAAAGUGAUGCAGUCACACACGCACACACACACACACAUGCAUAUAUGUAUAAAUAUAUAUGUACAAUUCUUUUUUUCAUACUAUCUUCCAUCAUGUUCUAACCCAAACCUUUUGCACAGCAAAGGAAACCAUUUAAAAAAAUGGAAAGACAACCCACAGAAUGGGAGAAAAUCUUUGCAAAUGAUGCAACAGUCAAGGGCCCGAUUUCUGAAAUAUACAAACAGCUCAUACAACUCAACGACAAAAAAAUAAAUAACCUAAUUGAAAAGUGGGCAGUAUAUUUAAAUAAAUAUUUCUCCAAAGAAGACAUAUGGUUAGCCAUAGGCACAUGAAAAGAAUUAUUAUUUUUUUAAUUCAACCAGAGAGAGACCUAAACAAUUUUGGAUUGAGUUCCCUCCUGUGGAAAAAGAACUUAGUAAGCCUAGCCUGAUAUUAGUGGGUUAUUUUAAUCUCAUUGAAACUUUUUAGGGAUGUCUAAUAUUUAUAUCACCUUGUCCAUGUGCACCAAUUAUUUCUCAAUAUCAGAAUAAAUAAGUUAUAGUAGAAUCUUCGACCGUUAGAAGAAGCUUUUGGGCUUCAUUGCUUCCAAGAUUUCCCAGUAGGUGGCUAGUAUCCUCAAACUGUUUGGUAUGCAUUUUAUAUAGUUCUGUUUGAGGAUGUAAACAUCUUUAGGUUAGAUGUAAAGAUGUGGUCAGAUUUCCUUCAAUCCUAAACACUGGCUACUACCUUUCACCCAGCUGCUUCCCUCCUGAUGUUACCUACUAUGAAGGCAUUUGUGUUUAGGUCUCUGUAGAGGUUCUUCUCUUUGAGGUGAAUAAAAAUAUUAGGCUCAGAUGAUGUGAACAAUCUUCUCCCAAGUAAUUGCUGAAAUCUAAAAAUAUGGAGUCUCUUCUUGGCUCUGAAUGUAUCUAGGAAAAGGAUCUAACAUACUCCUCGCCAUGCUAUGAUUUACUUGAUAUUUUUCAUGUGCAUAAUUCAUUGCCAUCCAUUGCCAAUUUAUACAUAAGGAAAAGUUCAGAAAGUUGCAUUUUAUUAACCAUGCACCUGCUAUCUAUAUUUAAAUAAGAUCUUGAAAGUGCUGCAACAUAUUCAAAUAAAUCAUUUUCUUUUGUUACCUUUUAUAAGAAUUACUCUUUAUAAGAAAUUAAUUCUACCUGGAAUUAGAAAAAGGGAGUGAACAAUUCUCUUUACCUUUGAUCACACCUGGAUGUACUGGAUGGAAAGCUUUAAGGAGCUCCUCAGAUGUCUGACAUGAGGUUGACUUGUGUGAUUGGACCUAAUUCCAUGAGUAUGAGAAGCUUCUGGUACUUGAGACUCCUUGAAAGGGCCAAAUCUUUCAGCCCAGGACUUUUUGUUCUCCUCCGAGUUGCCGCCUUUUUAAGAAACUCUAAUGCUUUUUCAAGGAGAGACUUAACAGAUAUUGUAUGUACGUGUGUAUGGCUAGUUCACAUAGAAAGCAUGGCACAGACUGGCAGAGAGAAACAGAGUCUGCGGAAAGGUGUAAAACAGUCUGUUUAUGAACUGCAUGUACUGCAGGAGAGAACCGGCUUUGAAUCCUAGUCAUGUGCUGUCUUCAGAAAAGUGGUCACAGAACCCCAGGCUUCUGUCUCUCUCUGCUCUUCUUUCACCACCCAAUCCUGCCCCCUUUCCCUUCCUGCAAUAAUAAAUCAUCUGAGUGUAAAGGCAAGUAGAUGUUCCUCAGUGCUAAGAAAAGUGAGAUGGCAAGAAGACAAUGAGGCGUUGGGGAAGGCAUUGGUUCCAGAAAUUGGAUUCUAGGCAUGUAGUGCCAGGAUGGAGGACUUUUAUUUAAUUUUAUAGAAAAAUGUUCAGGUUAUUUUGCACUGAGAUGUGAAAUCUCAUUUGCAGCUAAGCCCCGGAGGGAGUGAAAGGAACUAGGAGAGCUCAUAAAGACAAGCAUAAUAGGAUUAAUAAGAAAAAGGCCGAAGACGUAAGCCUUUAUUGUAGGAACCCAGCGCUAAAUUUUAGCAUUGAUGAAGGGUGAAAUGUCGAUACUUAUCCAAACAUGUGUGCCUUCAGGAUACAAACUACUGACAGAUGGUGCCUUCAUAGGUUGGUACUGCUUGGGUAGGUUAUCUGCUCUUCCUGGGGGAGAGGGCCACUCUGUUAGAACAAAGAAAGAAAAUCACUGCAUGGCAGCAAUUCUGGAAACCUCAUUCAUAGAAAUAAUUCAGAAUGUAUCCUCUGUAAUUAAAACAGCAUUUAGGGUUGAAUAAUAAUCCAAUGAAUUAAGAAUUGGAAAAUCAUUUGACAAUCAAGGGCCUGAAUGUUAACUCAUCUGUUUAGAUAUUUAGGGCCUGAAUUUUUUUUUUUUAAAGCAAAUAGAAUUCUCAAUUUGAAGAGUCAAUUUAUAGGAGAGUUCCAGGUCACUCAUGAGCAUGGAUUAUAGUAUAAGGUGAUAAUCAAAUUGUCAGCUUCAUAGUUGGUUCUUUUUUCUUCUUUUAUAAAGGUCGAUUGCUACAAAAUAAUUUGGGCUGAAAAUGUGGCUGUCAAAGCAAUUUAAAUAACUGUACCAAAGGGAACAUCAUUUAGUUAUUUCGACUGCAGAGUCAUACCUUUAUUCAGGGUAAUAUUUGCAGCACCUAUUUUAUAACUGGGUAAAGAAGAUGAUGUUGACUCUAGGCUAAGGGACAGCCAGGUGCUGAUGAUUUCUACCCCCAAAGGGCUUCAUUCAUUUUUCUAAUUUAAGGCACUGAAUUGAUUUUUCCAGUAUUACUUUCCUAAUAAGAUCCAUGUACUUUUACACAAGUAUUAUUUUUAAAGCAAUAUUAAUGCUGCUAAAUCGACAAUUUAAGUGAACAGAAGUAUUACAGUUAUCAGGGGAACCAGUUCAAGAAUCUUAUAUACUACAGAUAAUGAUGCAAUUUAAGUUUAGAAAUAGUGUUGGACAUGAGAGGACACACCCAUCUAUCCCUAUUUUCUUUGUCUGUUUAACCAUAAGGAUUAAUGUUGUAAUGGUAGGCAUAUACUGUCAUUAAAGAGAUUUAAAUGAUAUAUAAACAGAUAUACAGUUCCAUAUUCCAGAAUUUAUAUUUUAAUUUUGUGCAAGGCAAGAACAUAUACAAUAUUUUCCUUGAUUUUAAUUCUUUUCAGAUAAAAGCAUUAAAAAUUUUUGUCUUCUUGAAAAUCUGAUAAUACUACCAAUACAUUCAUAUGCAGUAGGAACAGCUCUGUAUGGCUUUUAAGAGAUUAUCCUAAGGAAGCGGCACCAACUAGGUUGGGCGAAUCAUUUUUCCAUGCUUCAUUCAACAAUGCUUAUAUAUAAAUGGAAUAACAUCUGCUUUUAGUGUAGGAAGGCUACCUUCCAGUAGUAAGGCCUAGUCCUGAAGUGUUAUUGAAAAGAUAGUUUUGCCAGGAGAUCACAGAUUUUAGUUUAGUUUUUUUAAGGCCUGGAAGUAUAAACUAGAGUUCUUUUUAGGAAAGGUGGCCACUAAUUCUUCAAAUCACUUUAGAAGAGCUCAUGAGGGGAGUUCCCUGGUGGUCUAGUGGGUUAAGGAUCUGAUGUUGUUGCUGCUGUUACUCAGGUUGCUGCUGUGGUGCAGGUUUGAUCCCUUGGUCAAGGAACUUCCUCAUGCCA